This 1087-nucleotide long non-coding RNA is filed under the name Gossypium barbadense (sea-island cotton). RNAcentral describes it as "long non-coding RNA (GBAR_LNC017784)". The record is from RNAcentral. Lineage: Eukaryota; Viridiplantae; Streptophyta; Magnoliopsida; Malvales; Malvaceae.
UGUUUCUGCUUCAUUUCAUUUUUUCCUUUUUUAAAAACAUAAACAGAGGGGAAAAAUGGGGAAGUUUGUCUGCUAGGUUUUCCAACCCUAGCCUUCAUGGCGCCAUUGACUGCCAUGGAACCACCGUGAACGGUGCUCGGAUCCGGUGCUCAAAACCAGGUAAGCACCCUUUUAUAUUUUAUAUUAUUCUUUUGUAAAAAAUGGAAAUCAAAAAAGAAAAUGGGGAAAAUCACCUAAAAAAAACUGCUUGUGUAUUGCUCUUUGACCUUUUUUUUACAUCCCCUUUUACAGAUUUUUUCCAUCCGUUUUAUACCCGAAAACAAAGAAAGAUAAAAAAAUAAAAAUCCCGCAAAAUACGAAAAGCAUCCUUAUUUUCUGUUAUUGUUGCGUUUGUAUAUGCCUUUUUUUUGUUGUUUGUUUCUAUUCGUUGCUGCAGGUGUGACGUGCGCGAUGUUCGCGGAGGUGUGCGUGCAGACGGAGGCGCGCAAUGGGGCAGCAGUUGUGGCACCAGUUUGCUGGCACUGCUUAGGGUUUCCUGUUUUUGGGCUGUACAAGGUUAAUGGCUUGGGUUUGUUAGUCCGAAGGGUAUUGGGCUAGGGUUAAUUUUGUUUUUGUUUUUUUCUUUUUGGGUUCUUUAGUGGGCCGGGCAAAAAUUGGGCUCUACAAUUAACUUUAAUGAUAUUUUACGGGUUUUGUUAAUUGGUAAGAAAAUAAUAAGGAACAAAGAAGAGCGAAGUGUUUAUUGGUAAGAAAAUAAUAAGGAACAAAGAAGAGCGAAGUAAUUAAACACUCAACAAAGAUUGGAGGAGGAAGUCUUUUCAAAAGAAAACGUGGAAGUUAAUGAGUAAGUUUGAAGGCGGUCAUGUAUGCCAAAAAAUAGAAAAUAUAAUGGUGAUUCUGUUAACAAAAUCUCCACUUAGUUUCACUAAAACAAUAAGAAUAAAAUAAAGAUGUAAAAAACCCGUUUGAACUAAAUUGAGCUAUCAAGCUCAGGCCUCCUACACCUGUGUCAUCCUCUUAUUUUGCUUCAUUAUUUAAACCAUGUAACCUUCCAACAAAAUAUAAUAAAAAUAUUCAGUAAUAUAUA